Molecule: RNA transcript, 2567 nt
Organism: Perca fluviatilis (European perch)
Lineage: Eukaryota; Metazoa; Chordata; Actinopteri; Perciformes; Percidae
Exons: 3
Source: RefSeq, a predicted model, not a curated record
GUAUGCGGACAACUCCGUCAUAGUGAGCCUGCUCCAUAAAAAUGACAGAGGCCAUGGACCAAUAAUUGAAGACUUUGUCCAGUGGUGUGAGGAGUCACACCUUCAAUUGAACAUAUCAAAAACAAAGGAUAUGUAUAUUGAUUUCGGUAAAACUCUAGGAUAUGAGGCCAUACCUAUAAAUGGUCAACUAGUGGAUCAAGUAGAAUCCUAUAGAUAUCUAGGGACAAUUAUUGACUCUAAAUUAAAUUUCCAGGAGAAUUGUGAAGCUGUCUGCAAAAAAGUACAACAGCGUCUAUACUGCUUGAGAAAAUUGUACCAUUUUCAUAUAGACUGUUGUGGUUAGGACAGAAUGGACCCAAACGCAGAGCUCAGCACAAGAUACUUUAUUGGGAAAAUGGGAAAGAGGAUGGGGAAGUGGGAAGGUGGAUGCCAGGGAGGAGAGCACGGGCACGGGGGCUGGAGCUGGGAACAGAGACACAGAGAGACUGGGGCUGAGAGAUCGACAGGGGAAGCACUAAAGCGCGGAAUGGCGAGAGCUGGGGAAGGCUGGUGCAGGAACCGUGAGGGAGGGACUGGAUGGAGGGGCCAGCUGACUGGAGGCUGGGUGACGGGAAAGGUAGCAACUGAAACAAGAAGACAAAAAACAGGUUACAAAAGCACAGGCAGGAACACACACAGGCUAGUAUCUAGGAGCUUGAGGUAUAUGUCACCAAUGAGACAGGAGCAACGAUUAAGCGAAGAUGGUGAGUCAAACCGGGGUUGAUAUACUGGGCUUGAUUGAAGUUGAUGACCGGCAGGUGUGUACGGCGGGAGGAGUGGUAGUGAGGAGGCGAGCAGGUGUGUGCAAUCAGCUGGCUGGCACAGGCAGGAGGGGAGGGGGGAAACAGAGAGAGACAGAGAGGCAGAGCCAACACAAACUGACAGCAAAAUAUAUAAGAGGGAAAAAAUUAAAAACAGACACUCACAGCCAGCCGGACUCCAACCAUCACAUAGACAAGACCACGAUGACAUUAUUUUAUCAUGCGUUUAUCGAAUCCAUCAUAUCUUUUUCCUUAGCGUCAUGGUUUGGGUGUGUUUCAGUUAAGCACAAGAAUCGCCUAAAUCAAAUUGUAAGAUGGUCAAGUAAGCUGACUGGUGAGUCCCAGCGGCACCCCGCAGUCCCGUAUGCUAAACAACUACAGCGGAUAGCUAUGGCCAUCUUAGAAGAUACACCCUUUGAAUCUGGAAUUCCAGUAUCUCCCCUCUGGACGGAGGCUAAUAGUCCCUGGUUGUAGAACUACAAGAUUUAAAAACUGUUUUGUCCCAGCAGCAAUCACUCUGUUAAACAAACUGUAGAAUUACUUGCACACAACGCACAAGCACCUUGGUCAUAGCUGUAGAAUUUCUGCAUAUAACUGCACAAGUCAAUGUGGUCAUGUACUGUUUUUUAUCCAUGUUCUACUGUCUGUUUUAUAUGUUUUAAUGUUUUGUAUGUUGCAUGUUAUGUGGUGGUUCAAUGUUUUAAGGAUGUCCUGCCUCUUAGACUGUAAACCUAGUUUACCUACGGGUACCAAUAAAGUAACCUGAACCUGAACCUGCUUUGUUCCAUUACAAUCUGACAUUAGCCUACUGCUAACUAAUAAGUAGCUGCAUGUUAACGGCUGAUAGCUGUAUAAUUUCUCCCCAAUGUUGGGUGACAUUACUGCUGGGACAUGUCCGGUUGUGUAAUGGUUGGUUUAGAAGCCUUUAUUUGUGGUACAAAGUCCUGCUAUAUACUCCGUUACAGUAGCUCCAGCUGCAACUAGUAAAACAAAAGCGGAGCGGAGAUUCCAGGAAACACAGUGGGCGAUCAGAGCAGACUGGGCUUUCUCGGGAUGGGGGCUUAAAGAGACAGGCGCUCCAACAGUGCAUCUCAGACAGAGGGGAAUACAGGAGCCGCAGUCAUGGGCAGUAUGAGUUGCUAUGGUUUCUGGUGCUGCCCUUGCCUUGCCUGCACAGUUUCAGAAAGAUUUGGAGAGAACCGUUGUCUCCCAUUAUGUGACAUAUGCAGCCCUGCCAUAUUAUCAGCCUUGGGGAUACCUCUGUGUGUGGCGCCUCCUGCAGGCCUGUCCCUAAGGGCUGCCAUGCGAAAUAGAUAUGGUAUCAAGGGUUCUCUCUGUAAGGACAUCGCAGUUUCCUGUUUCUGCGGGUGGUGCAACUGGUGUCAGAUGCAUCGUGAGUUAAGACAUCGUGAAAAAACUCCCACUGUCGUCAAUGUUACAAACGUGAACGUGCAGCAGCCUGCUCCAAUGAUGAUGACUCCUGUAUACCAAUAUCAGUGAAAACCAAAGCUUGAGAGUAUGAUGAUGAAUAACUUUCAGUUUCUUAUUUAGAGUCUAAUAAUUGUUGACUAUCGCGUCAAAUUAUUUUCUGAAGUUUCUGUUUAACCCUUGUGUUGUCUUUUUGUCGACCAUGCAACUUUCUGUUUUUCUGGGUCAAAAUGAAAAAAUAAAUUCAACUUUUUCAUUGUCUUUUUUGACACUUUUGUCGCUUUCCCCGAUGUAUUUGAAGAUGUUUCCGAUGUGUUGUCACUUUUUUUAUGUUUUUGU